CCAAGGGAAAGCUAUAAAUAGCCCUAUUUUGUAAAUGCUCCAAAUCACAAAUAAUUAGAGAAGUUCAAAUUAAAGCAACUAUGGGGGACUAUCUCACAUCCAUCAGACUGUCAGAUGACAAAAGAGAAAAAUUACAAUGUUGAAGGGGCUACAGGAAAAGAGGCACAUUGAUACACUGUUGGAGGAACUGGGUCCACUCAUUCUGGAAAGCAAUUUGGAACCAUACUCCAAAAGUUACUAAACUGUGCAAACAUUUUGACCCAUUGAUAGACCAGGCCUAUCCUCCAAAGAAAUUAAAGAAAGCGGAAAAGGGCUUAAACAUAUAACACCCAAAGCAGCUUUUGUAGUAGCAAAGAACUGAAAACUCAAGGGGUGCCCAUUUAUUGAGUAAUGACUGAGUAAAUUAUGAUACAUAUCUUUGUUAUAUAUGAGGUUUUUUUUUCCCUAAUGGCAUGUAUAGGUGAGAGAAAAUAGCUUUUUGUUACUUGAAAAAAAAAUUUACUUUUAAAAUUAUGGCAUGUGAAUGUAAUAAAAUGUUAUUUUACCAUGAGAAGUAAUGAAACUGAAAGUUUCAAAGAAAACCAGGAAGACUUCUAUGAAUAGAUGCAGAGUGAAGUGAGGAGAGUCAGAAGAAAAAUUGGUGCAAUAUUAACUUCAUAAAGGAAAGCAAUUUGAAAAAGCUUUAGGGUUUUGGUAAAAUAUGCACUGACAAACCUUGAGUCCAGAGGAACAAGGACAAAAUACACUGCCUGCCCCCUGACAAAGAGAUGAUAGACUUAAAAUGAAAUGCAGAAUGAGGCACACCUUUUUGGACUUGGCCACUAGGGGAACUUGUUUUUGUUCAGCAUUGUAUAUUGAAGGUUUUAUUUUUCUUUGUUGUUGUUGGGAGGAGUGUGUAGGGACAGGAAAUAAAUACUUGAUUUGAAAAAAAGAAUGAAAGGAGUAAAAGUUCAUGCUCUGCCAAAACAAAACAAACCCUCCAAACAAAAAACUCUUCAGAAGUAAAACCUAAGACUGCUCAGAAUUCCAGCCCAGUACUCCUGUUUACACUUUAGCUUCGGGUCUCUAUUUUGGAGAAGGCAGAGAAAGCUUGUGUUGCUGGAGCACAGGUUCAAAGUGGCACGGCUCUUUCCCCAUCUCCUCUUGUCCAAGGAGGGUGAUUCUAGGACCACUGUGCACAGUCCUGUUUGGACUUCAUUUCCCACCUUCCUCCCAUGAAUGGAGCUCCUUCCCCUUCUCUUAUCCUCAUCUGAUUCUGCUGCCUCAGAGGCUAAAACUUUCCAACCACUCUGCUCCUCUCAUUUCUUCAUAGGACAAAGGGCACCACCGAAAAAGCCUUUCCCAGAACUCAAACAACUGAGGUUUUCUGAGCCUUCACUCCAGAAUCUGAUUCCUUAGGGGCUCCGAAACGGGAAUGAGACUGGAUGGAGCAGCCUAGGUAGGAGGUGGGAGGUAGAGAGCCAGAUAAGAGUGGGAGUUUGGAAAUUAAUUGAGGACAGUGUAGGUGUAAGAGCAAGAGUUUGGGAUCCCAAAGGAUGCUGUCAAUAGAGGGCCAAGGAGUACAUCUAAAGAAGGCAGGGAAAAGAGAUGAUAGACGUGGUGUUGCUAUAGCAUAGCUAGCUGAGAGACGGAGGGUGGCAGCUUCACCUGUGCCAGCCAGCCUAAAGAGAGUCUAAUUUUGUCAUGUUAAAAAACAAAAAGGAAGGUGUCCAUAGCAACCAUUUGUUUGCUGUUUGUGAUAAGCUAGCAGCCUUAUAUAGAGGCCAUGGAAAAUGGGCUGAGGACAGUCGUCGGGUUGUUGGGGAUGGUCAGGAGGUUAUCAGGAGAUGACACUGGUGCGUGGCAUCUUCCUUUCCUGUCCCUGACUCAGCAAGGAGUGGGAAGGUAGACCUGACAAUUUAUUUCUUGUUCCUUAUUACAGAGGAGUCAUACAUAAGGGUUGGGCCAUGCAACAAUAUUUCCAUUUCGUUAUCCAAAUUUUCACCCAAAUCAGAUGAGUUCCUAGUGGUUCGAAGGAAGAGAGCCGGUGAAGAUUCAGCUUCCAUUUUUGCCUUAGCUGCCACGUUCGGGGCCUGGGAGAAUGGGGAAGAAAUGAAGGAGAGGCAUAGGUCCCAACUACAAAAGCAUGCACAACCCUAAGGAGGCUCCAGGACAGAGCGAUGGGUUGGGUCCCAGGCUGCGAGGCUGCCGCAGCCACCUUAAGAUAGCAGCAGUGGAUCCAGGGUGGUCGCGCCUACCUCUCUGGCGGGGGCGGGGAGGGGGGGGGGACAGAGAGGAUAGAUCCAAUCACCAGAGGAGGCGCCAGAUGUACAGAAUGAUGCCAGUCAGAGUAGAUCUUUCUCCUCCGGAUCUUCAGACCAGUUUCCACUCCAGACUUCUAGCCUAAAUAUUUACUUGGUAUCCUCACAACAAGGAUUAAAUGCUUGCUAAAUCCUCAGGUCUCUAUGAAACCAGCUUCUUGUAAAAAGGUGGGGGAUGGGAGAUUUCCUGGUACUCCGGGGUCAGGGGAAGAGGAAGUGACUCCGAGACGGUACAUCCCGGAAGCUGGGUGAGGACUGAAUUGGGGCACAGAGAGACAAAAGGUGUCCGACUGCCAGAGGGCUACAGGUGGCCUCCGCACUCCCAAGUGCAGCCUGAACCAGAUUAAAAGGCAUUGGGAAAUAUUGAACAAAAGAAAUAAAAAGGCAAUACAAUGUCAAUAGCAUUCAAUUCUAAAGCCAGUCAAAACACGGCCAGCAGGGAUCCUUCCGUCGGUUAGAGGUCUCUGUUUCUUCUGGAUUUGGGGAUCACUCCAAUACGGGGUCUCCUUUGGGGAAGCGGGGUGGGGUUGAGGAGGGCUCUCGUGCCCCCAACUAUCUCCCUCGGAGGUCUCACUUCAAUAGAAGGACGCCGUUGGGAGCGUGACCUUUUCCAGCACUAUUCCGGUUUCCGGGCGCCCGGUGAAUAGUCCUCUAGUCACUGUAGUUGGACUUUGGGUGAGCGGCCGCCAGAUGGUGCUCGUGAGUGGCUCGCCGGCGGCUCUGGCUCCUCUCGGUCCUUAGUCUUGAUUGUUCCUCAGUCUUCUGUUCGAGAUCAUACAUUUCCUGCUCUGUAAAUUCCUUAAAAGCCAAACUUCAUUAUGAUCAUCAGUCCUGAGGCCUCACACUGCGCAAUGGAAAGAAUAACUUGGAACGGAAAGAAAUGAACAGAAGAACUCAAGAAGAUUGGAGAUGAAAAGGACGUACAAAAAUUAUAUAUAUAUUUAUAUAUAUAAUAA
Molecule: long non-coding RNA, 3256 nt
Organism: Monodelphis domestica (gray short-tailed opossum)
Lineage: Eukaryota; Metazoa; Chordata; Mammalia; Didelphimorphia; Didelphidae
Source: RefSeq, a predicted model, not a curated record